This 2717-nucleotide ribosomal RNA is filed under the name Candidatus Gottesmanbacteria bacterium GW2011_GWA1_42_26. Its description in RNAcentral is "bacterial SSU rRNA". The stretch from base 1 to 1869 matches the Rfam family "Bacterial small subunit ribosomal RNA". RNAcentral also lists the same sequence under 2 other names. The record is from RNAcentral. Lineage: Bacteria; Candidatus Gottesmaniibacteriota.
UGAGAGUUUGAUCCUGGCUCAGGAUGAACGCUGGCGGUAUGCCUUAAGCAUGCAAGUCGAACGAUCUUGUCCUUUGGACAAGAAUUUUCAAAUUAUCCAAUAAUCCAAUAAAUACCAAUUAUCCAAUAAGAGCAAAAUUCUUAUUUGAUUAUUUGAGAAUUGGAUUAUUUGUUGAUUGGAAAUUCUCGCCCAGAGGGCGAGGUAGUGGCAGACGGGUGAGUAAUAGUAAGGAACGUACCCCAAGGUCAAGUAUAGCCUUCCGAAAGGAGGGGUAAUACUGGAUAGUUCCCGAUUUAAUCGGGUAAAGCACGUAACUGUGCGCCAUGGGAGCGGCCUUAUUCCUAUCAGCUUGUUGGUAGGGUAAAAGCCUACCAAGGCGAUGACGGGUAGGGGGCGUGAGAGCGUGACCCCCCACAAUGGCACUGAGACACGGGCCAUACACCUACGGGUGGCAGCAACUGGGAAUAGUUGUCAAUGGACGAAAGUCUGAACACGCGAUACCGCGUGAGGGAUGAAGUAUCUCGGUAUGUAAACCUCUUUUGCCAGAUCAUCGAGAUUUGGCGAAUAAGCACCUACAAACUACGUGCCAGCAGUCGCGGUAAUACGUAGGGUGCAAGCGUUAUCCGGAUUUACUGGGCGUAAAGUGUCGCGUAGGCGACUUCUUGUGUCACAUCUUAAAGAGUAAGGCUUAACCUUGCCGUUGGAUGUGAGACUAAGAAGAUUUGAAGAAGAGAGGAGUACCUGGAACUGACGGUGGAGUAGUGAAAUGCGUUGAUAUCGUCAGGAACACCAAAAGCGAAGGCAAGGUACCGGCUCUUUCUUGACGCUGAGGCACGAAAGCUAGGGGAGCGAAGCAGAUUAGAGACCUGCGUAGUCCUAGCCCUAAACGCAUGGAUGCUAGAUACCCCGUCGCAAAACCUAUGGGUUUUGCGACGAAAUCAAAAAUCAAAAUGUCCUGCAGAGCAGGAUCUGGCUUUGCCAGACAAAAUUCAAAAAUAUACAAGGUAUCCCUUCGGGACUAUUUAUAAAUUUGUCCUUGUUAAAUUUUGAUCUUUGACUUUUGAAUUUUAGAUUUCGCAAAAACGUAGUUUUUGCGAUGGGGUGUCGCAAGCUAACGCGUUAAGCAUCCCGCCUGGGGAGUACGAACGCAAGUUUAAAACUCAAAGGAAUUGACGGGGACCCGCACAACCAGUGGAGCAUGUGGUUCAAUUCGAGACGAAGCGAAAGACCUCACCAGGGUUCGACAUGUAACUGCAUGUCUAAGAAAUUAGGCAGCCUUCGAGGGUGUUACAAAGCUGCUGCAUGGCUGUCGUCAGCUCGUGCCGUGGGGUGUUGGCUUAAGUGCCAGAACGAGCGCAACCCCCAUCCAAUGUUAAAUUAUCAUUGGAGACCGCCCGCUUCUUUUUGAACUCACGAGUUCAAAAAGAGUUGCUUAGUUAUUAGUUAAUUAGUUACUUAGUAAUUUUCUAAGUAACUAAGCAUCUAAUCAACUAUGUAACUCAAAUUCGUAGAGUUUGAAAAGAAGCGGGAGGAAGGAGGGGACGACGUCAAGUCAGCACGGCGCUUAUGCCCUGGGCAACACACAUCCUACAAUGGCGAAAAACAACGAGAUGCAAGCUCGCGAGUGCAAGCCAAUCUCUGAAAUUUCGCCUCAGUUCAGAUUGCAGUCUGCAACUCGACUGCAUGAAGCCGGAAUUGGUAGUAAUCGCAGAUCAGCAUGGCUGCGGUGAAUACGUUCUCGGGUCUUGUACACACCGCCCGUCAAGUCAACAAAGUUGGAAGUAGCUGAAACUUGGGUUUCCCAAACUAAGCUAAGCCCAGCGAUGGGGACUAAGUCGUUGGCCUAUAAUAAUAGGAGUUGCGACCUUUAACAGCAAUGUUUCUGAAAAAUGUACCUAUAUCGGUGAACCCUACGUUUAGAUAUACUAAAUAAGGGAAUACCGAGGGAAGUUUAGAUGAAGCAUGGUCCAACAAAUACUAGAUUUUUGAAAGAUAAGAAAUCACAUCUUAAGUUGUCCCAACUACAAAAAGAUUUUGUUAUCGGAACAAUAUUAGGAGAUGGUUGCUUAAUCACUUCAAGGUCUGGCAAAGCUGCGCGCUUACAAGUAAGUACAGAAAGCAAAGUAUCAUGAAUUUGUUUUCUGGAAAUACAAUUUUCUUAAAGAUUGGAUUACAACAAAGCCACGGUAUGAUCGUUAUAAUGAUUCAGCCGUAUUUCGUACUAUUUCACAUCCAGAUUUAAUGGCAAUAAAACGUCUUUUUUAUAAGGACGAUAUAAAAAUUGUUCCGGGAAAUAUAAAAGAUUUACUUAAAAAUCCUUUAAGUUUAGCUAUUUGGUUUAUGGAUGAUGGAAAUGGUCAUAAGAGAAAUCCAUAUUUAAGAUUAAGCACGUAUGCAUUUAAAGAAGCAGGGAAUAAACUUUUACAAACCUGUUUGAGAGAAAAUUUUUUAUUAGAUGCAAAAAUUUUCCAUGACAAUAAGGGUUUUUAUCUGUGCUUUUUAAAGGACAAUGCACUUAAACUUUAUAAAUUAAUCAAGCCAUUUAUUAUUCCGUGCAUGGAAUACAAAUUUAUAAAGGUUAAUUCUAUAACCCCGUAGAGACUACACGGUACCUCCCGACGGCCGUCGGGAUGAAGAUAUAGUCCAUGCCUCUGGAAACACGAGGAAUAACAUGAACAAGGUAUCCCUAGCCGAAGCUGGGGAUGGAUCACCUCCUU